GACGAACGCUGGCGGCGUGCUUAACACAUGCAAGUCGAGCGGAAAGGCCCUUCGGGGUACUCGAGCGGCGAACGGGUGAGUAACACGUGAGUAACCUGCCCCAGACUUUGGGAUAACCCUCGGAAACGGGGGCUAAUACCGGAUACGACACAGCUUCGCAUGGGGUCUGUGUGGAAAGUUUUUCGGUUUGGGAUGGGCUCGCGGCCUAUCAGCUUGUUGGUGGGGUGAUGGCCUACCAAGGCGACGACGGGUAGCCGGCCUGAGAGGGCGACCGGCCACACUGGGACUGAGACACGGCCCAGACUCCUACGGGAGGCAGCAGUGGGGAAUAUUGCACAAUGGGCGGAAGCCUGAUGCAGCGACGCCGCGUGAGGGAUGACGGCCUUCGGGUUGUAAACCGCUUUCAGCAGGGACGAAGCGUAAGUGACGGUACCUGCAGAAGAAGCGCCGGCCAACUACGUG
RNAcentral lists this ribosomal RNA (462 nucleotides) under uncultured bacterium. Its description in RNAcentral is "partial 16S ribosomal RNA". It matches the Rfam family "Bacterial small subunit ribosomal RNA", at positions 28 to 507 of the family's 1533-position model. The record is from RNAcentral.